CGCGGGGUGGAGCAGCCCGGUAGCUCGUCAGGCUGAUAACCUGAAGGCCGCAGGUUCAAAUCCUGCCCCCGCAACCA
RNAcentral lists this transfer RNA (77 nucleotides) under Gluconobacter japonicus. Its description in RNAcentral is "tRNA-Ile". It matches the Rfam family "tRNA". Rfam says of the family: Transfer RNA (tRNA) molecules are approximately 80 nucleotides in length. Their secondary structure includes four short double-helical elements and three loops (D, anti-codon, and T loops). Lineage: Bacteria; Pseudomonadati; Pseudomonadota; Alphaproteobacteria; Acetobacterales; Acetobacteraceae. The record is from RNAcentral.